UAUUUUUUAGUAUAAAAAGUACAACUAACUUCCAAUUAGUAAGUUUGAAAAAUUUCAAGAAAAGUAA
Molecule: transfer RNA, 67 nt
Filed under: Mekongiana xiangchengensis
Lineage: Eukaryota; Metazoa; Arthropoda; Insecta; Orthoptera; Pyrgomorphidae
Description: tRNA-Gly
Source: RNAcentral